This 253-nucleotide ribosomal RNA is filed under the name uncultured bacterium. RNAcentral's name for it is "partial 16S ribosomal RNA". It matches the Rfam family "Bacterial small subunit ribosomal RNA", at positions 524 to 776 of the family's 1533-position model. The record is from RNAcentral.
GACGUAGGAUGCAAGCGUUGUCCGGAAUUAUUGGGCGUAAAGAGUUCGUAGGCGGUUUCUUAAGUCUGGUGUUAAAGACGGGAGCUCAACUCCCGCAUGGCAUUGGAUACUGGGAAGCUAGAGUGUGGUAGAGGUCUCGGGAAUUCCAGGUGUAGCGGUGAAAUGCGUAGAUAUCUGGAGGAACACCGGUGGCGAAAGCGCGAGACUGGGCCAUAACUGACGCUGAGGAACGAAAGCCAGGGGAGCGAAAGGG